AACGCGAAGAACCUUACCAGCCCUUGACAUCCCGGUCGCGGGAACCAGAGAUGGAUCCCUUCAGUUCGGCUGGACCGGAGACAGGUGCUGCAUGGCUGUCGUCAGCUCGUGUCGUGAGAUGUUGGGUUAAGUCCCGCAACGAGCGCAACCCUCGCCCUUAGUUGCCAUCAUUUAGUUGGGCACUCUAAGGGGACUGCCGGUGAUAAGCCGCGAGGAAGGUGGGGAUGACGUCAAGUCCUCAUGGCCCUUACGGGCUGGGCUACACACGUGCUACAAUGGCGGUGACAGUGGGACGCAAUGGAGCAAUCCUGCGCAAAUCUCAAAAAGCCGUCUCAGUUCGGAUUGUGCUCUGCAACUCGAGCACAUGAAGUUGGAAUCGCUAGUAAUCGCAGAUCAGCACGCUGCGGUGAAUACGUUCCCGGGCCUUGUA
This 430-nucleotide ribosomal RNA is filed under the name uncultured Alphaproteobacteria bacterium. RNAcentral's name for it is "bacterial SSU rRNA". It matches the Rfam family "Bacterial small subunit ribosomal RNA", at positions 958 to 1385 of the family's 1533-position model. The record is from RNAcentral. Lineage: Bacteria; Pseudomonadati; Pseudomonadota; Alphaproteobacteria.